AAUAUCAUCCUUUUGCCAUGGCCUAAAUACUUGGCUAGAAGAAGAAGAAGAAGAAGAAGAAGGAAGCUGUUUAUCCUUGCAUGUCCCUGGAUAUAUUUGUUGAUAGUCACCUAGUUAUUUUGUUGUUAUACAUUAUGGUUAGAUGACCAUCAACAAACACAUUCAUGAUGUUGCAUUUCCUCAAAGUUAGUAUGCAACUGAUGUUGGUAAGUGACCCCAAAGUAAUUGCUUUUGUUAUAUAUUACUUUUAAUUUCUAUUCUCUUUUAUUUUCACUUCUCCUUUGAGGGUCUAAUCAAGAUAUUCUUCUACUUUGUUAUAUAUAUAUAUAUAUAUAUAUAUAUAUUACUCAUGUACUGUUAGACCCAAGCAUUGACCCACCAAAGUAAAGAAACAUUUCUAGAGAAGCUCAGUUGAUAGAUCCUCAUCCUCUUGAGCCAAUCAUCAAAAGUUGUCCACCUCCAGAGAUUUAUGAACCUGUAGGAAAGAAUAAUGGAGAAUAAUAGAAGAUUGGUUACAAAAUUCAGCUGAGCUUGCCAUUGGAUUUCCAUUAUCAUAGCGAACGUCCUCUUCUCUUCCUCACCAGUGACCGUCAAAAGACGGCUACCCAUAGGAUUGUUGUUGAUAAAGGAGUCGGCCUUAGCCGCACAAAACCAUUGUUGCUUGUACAGGCAUCACAAACACACCGAAAACAACUAACUUCAAGAAAUAAUACACAAAGAUAAGUAACAAAGUAUGGAGGAUGUAUUGAAUUAAGCGAAAUAAAAACUUUAAUAGAAUUGAAAAGUUAUG
Molecule: long non-coding RNA, 790 nt
Filed under: Ricinus communis (castor bean)
Lineage: Eukaryota; Viridiplantae; Streptophyta; Magnoliopsida; Malpighiales; Euphorbiaceae
Description: long non-coding RNA (RCOM_LNC002999)
Source: RNAcentral